This 278-nucleotide ribosomal RNA is filed under the name uncultured bacterium. RNAcentral describes it as "partial 16S ribosomal RNA". It matches the Rfam family "Bacterial small subunit ribosomal RNA", at positions 28 to 300 of the family's 1533-position model. The record is from RNAcentral.
GACGAACGCUGGCGGCGUGCCUAACACAUGCAAGUGGAGCGACGAACCAGGCUUCGGCCUGGGGCAAAGCCGCGAACGGGUGAGUAACACGUGGGUAACCUGCCCUGAUGAUUGGGACAACCCGAGGAAACUCGGGCUAAUACCGAAUGUGCCCUCCGGCCUCAAGGCCGCUGGGGAAAGGAAGCUUCGGCCUCCGCAUCGGGAUGGGCCCGCGGCCCAUUAGCUUGUUGGUGAGGUAACGGCACCAAGGCGACGAUGGGUAGGCUGGUCUGAGAGGA